CAACGUUCUCAGGGCGGGGUGGAAUUCCCCACCGGCGGUAAUGGCGGAUUCUGCCUAGCCCGCGAGCGCUCGUUUCGGCGAGGUCAGCAGACCCGGUGCGAUUCCGGGGCCGACGGUAUAGUCCGGAUAAAGAGAGAGCGGGA
This 143-nucleotide non-coding RNA is filed under the name Pseudomonas sp. Its description in RNAcentral is "FMN sequence". It matches the Rfam family "FMN riboswitch aptamer (RFN element)". Rfam says of the family: The RFN element is a highly conserved domain that is found frequently in the 5'-untranslated regions of prokaryotic mRNAs that encode for flavin mononucleotide (FMN) biosynthesis and transport proteins. The record is from RNAcentral. Lineage: Bacteria; Pseudomonadati; Pseudomonadota; Gammaproteobacteria; Pseudomonadales; Pseudomonadaceae.